UAUGGUAAUUGCCAGCAGCCGCGGUAAUACGUAGGCGGCAAGCGUUGUCCGGAAUUAUUGGGCGUAACGGGAGCGCAGGCGGGAAACUAAGCGGAUCUUAAAAGUGCGGGGCUCAACCCCGUGAUGGGGUCCGAACUGGUUUUCUUGAGUGCAGGAGAGGAAAGCGGAAUUCCCAGUGUAGCGGUGAAAUGCGUAGAUAUUGGGAAGAACACCAGUGGCGAAGGCGGCUUUCUGGACUGUAACUGACGCUGAGGCUCGAAAGCUAGGGUAGCGAACGGG
This 279-nucleotide ribosomal RNA is filed under the name Megamonas funiformis YIT 11815. RNAcentral describes it as "partial 16S ribosomal RNA". It matches the Rfam family "Bacterial small subunit ribosomal RNA", at positions 497 to 776 of the family's 1533-position model. Lineage: Bacteria; Bacillati; Bacillota; Negativicutes; Selenomonadales; Selenomonadaceae. The record is from RNAcentral.